AUUGAACGCUGGCGGCAUGCCUUACACAUGCAAGUCGAACGGCAGCGGGCCUUCGGGUGCCGGCGAGUGGCGAACGGGUGAGUAAUGCAUCGGAACGUGCCAUUGAGUGGGGGAUAACGUAGCGAAAGUUACGCUAAUACCGCAUAUUCUGUGAGCAGGAAAGCAGGGGACCGCAAGGCCUUGCGCUCUUUGAGCGGCCGAUGUCAGAUUAGCUAGUUGGUGAGGUAAAGGCUUACCAAGGCGACGAUCUGUAGCGGGUCUGAGAGGAUGAUCCGCCACACUGGAACUGAGACACGGUCCAGACACCUACGGGAGGCAGCAGUGGGGAAUUUUGGGACAAUGGGCGCAAGCCUGAUCCAGCCAUGCCGCGUGAGUGAAGAAGGCCUCGGUUGUAAG
Molecule: ribosomal RNA, 396 nt
Filed under: uncultured bacterium
Lineage: Bacteria
Description: bacterial SSU rRNA
Rfam family: Bacterial small subunit ribosomal RNA
Source: RNAcentral